Molecule: long non-coding RNA, 562 nt
Organism: Anneissia japonica
Lineage: Eukaryota; Metazoa; Echinodermata; Crinoidea; Comatulida; Comatulidae
Exons: 3
Source: RefSeq, a predicted model, not a curated record
AAUACAUUGAAAGUGUUAAUCUGGGUUGUUAGGCUAGCCUAGGCAUAGUUAUGAAACAUUUUUUUAGAAAAGUUGUGAAUGAAUGCAAAAUCAGUUAUGCCAAGGAGGUGUUGCAUGACGUAUUAUCAUCUACAGUACUUUGCCUAAAGGCCUAGACUUAGCUAGCUAAACUUAAAAUUUGAAGCUGGUAGUGAGAACUUAAAGACUGCAAUAAUGGAAAAGUGGAGGGAUUUGAAGGUGAUCCUAACCAUUAUGGCUAUGACCAUUAUAUUGAUGUUGACUAUGGGGUUGAUGUUGUCAUUUGGUGUCUUUUUGGUGGAUUUUAAAUUAUAUUUUGAGACCGGAUCAGGUGUAGUUGGAGCUGUUAGUAGCUUGUGCAUCGCUGUUUUUUGUUUUUCUGGACCAUUACAUUGUAUAAUUGGACAACGGUUUGGAUGUCGCUUUGCAAUUUGUAUUGGUUGUUGUUUGGUUUCUCUUGGAUUCUUCUUAAGUUCACUGGUGCGGGAACCCUGGCAUUUACUCCUUUCUCAUUCCAUUAUAACAGGUAAACCUAUCAAGUAAU